AGAGUUUGAUCCUGGCUCAGAGCGAACGCUGGCGGCGUGCUUAACACAUGCAAGUCGAACGUGAAAAAGGGGCAACCCUGAGUAAAGUGGCGUACGGGUGAGUAACGCGUAGGUAAUCUACCCCAGAGUCUGGAAUAACCUGCCGAAAGGCGGGCUAAUACUGGAUAGAGCGACGGAAUCCGUAAUUGGGUUUUUCGGGA
RNAcentral lists this ribosomal RNA (200 nucleotides) under uncultured bacterium. Its description in RNAcentral is "partial 16S ribosomal RNA". It matches the Rfam family "Bacterial small subunit ribosomal RNA", at positions 8 to 203 of the family's 1533-position model. The record is from RNAcentral.